RNAcentral lists this ribosomal RNA (253 nucleotides) under uncultured bacterium. Its description in RNAcentral is "partial 16S ribosomal RNA". It matches the Rfam family "Bacterial small subunit ribosomal RNA", at positions 524 to 776 of the family's 1533-position model. The record is from RNAcentral.
UACAGAGGGGGCAAGCGUUGUUCGGAAUUACUGGGCGUAAAGGGCGCGUAGGCGGCCAACUAAGUCGGACGUGAAAUCCCAAGGCUCAACCUUGGAACUGCGUCCGAUACUGGAUGGCUUGAAUCCGGGAGAGGGAUGUGGAAUUCCAGGUGUAGCGGUGAAAUGCGUAGAUAUCUGGAGGAACACCGGUGGCGAAGGCGGCAUCCUGGACCAACACUGACACUGAGGAGCGAAAGCCAGGGGAGCGAACGGG